GACGAACGCUGGCGGCGUGCUUAACACAUGCAAGUCGAACGGAAAGGCCCUGCUUUUGUGGUGUGCUCGAGUGGCGAACGGGUGAGUAACACGUGAGUAACCUGCCCUUGACUUUGGGAUAACUUCAGGAAACUGGGGCUAAUACCGGAUAGGAGCUCCUGCUGCAUGGUGGGGGUUGGAAAGUUUCGGCGGUUGGGGAUGGACUCGCGGCUUAUCAGCUUGUUGGUGGGGUAGUGGCUUACCAAGGCUUUGACGGGUAGCCGGCCUGAGAGGGUGACCGGCCACAUUGGGACUGAGAUACGGCCCAGACUCCUACGGGAGGCAGCAGUGGGGAAUAUUGCACAAUGGGCGGAAGCCUGAUGCAGCAACGCCGCGUGCGGGAUGACGGCCUUCGGGUUGUAAACCGCUUGCGCCUGUGACGAAGCGUGAGUGACGGUAAUGGGUAAAGAAGCACCGGCUAACUACGUG
Molecule: ribosomal RNA, 468 nt
Filed under: uncultured bacterium
Lineage: Bacteria
Description: partial 16S ribosomal RNA
Rfam family: Bacterial small subunit ribosomal RNA
Source: RNAcentral